Molecule: ribosomal RNA, 563 nt
Filed under: Halomonas sp. 60
Lineage: Bacteria; Pseudomonadati; Pseudomonadota; Gammaproteobacteria; Oceanospirillales; Halomonadaceae
Description: bacterial SSU rRNA
Rfam family: Bacterial small subunit ribosomal RNA
Source: RNAcentral
GAGUUUGAUCAUGGCUCAGAUUGAACGCUGGCGGCAGGCCUAACACAUGCAAGUCGAGCGGAAACGAUCCUAGCUUGCUAGGAGGCGUCGAGCGGCGGACGGGUGAGUAAUGCAUAGGAAUCUGCCCGGUAGUGGGGGAUAACUUGAGGAAGCUCAAGCUAAUACCGCAUACGCCCUACGGGGGAAAGCAGGGGCUCUUCGGACCUUGCGCUAUCGGAUGAGCUUAUGUCGGAUUAGCUAGUUGGUGAGGUAAUGGCUCACCAAGGCGACGAUCCGUAGCUGGUCUGAGAGGAUGAUCAGCCACAUCGGGACUGAGACACGGCCCGAACUCCUACGGGAGGCAGCAGUGGGGAAUAUUGGACAAUGGGGGCAACCCUGAUCCAGCCAUGCCGCGUGUGUGAAGAAGGCCCUCGGGUUGUAAAGCACUUUCAGCGAGGAAGAAUGCUUGUCGGUUAAUACCCGGCAAGGGAGACAUCACUCGCAGAAGAAGCACCGGCUAACUCCGUGCCAGCAGCCGCGGUAAUACGGAGGGUGCGAGCGUUAAUCGGAAUUACUGGGCGUAA